This 223-nucleotide long non-coding RNA is filed under the name Mytilus galloprovincialis (Mediterranean mussel). The record is from RNAcentral. Lineage: Eukaryota; Metazoa; Mollusca; Bivalvia; Mytilida; Mytilidae.
UGGGUCUGUAUAAUUAUGUAAGACUUAGGUUGAUAGGUAAUGUGGUCAAUUUGAUUGACAGUUUAGGAGGUGGGGCAUUGUAAUUAAAGGUCCACCUUGUCUCUGAUUGUUUAGUGGUAAUGACAGUUGUCAAUCAAACUAUUAUUGUAUCAAUACUCAAUUACUUAAUCAAACUAAUUAAUAAACAGUCUGCAAAUGAACACACCUUAAUGACAUACAUUCU